AUUGAACGCUAGCGGGAUGCUUUACACAUGCAAGUCGAACGGCAGCGCGGACUUCGGUCUGGCGGCGAGUGGCGAACGGGUGAGUAAUGUAUCGGAACGUGCCUAGUAGCGGGGGAUAACUACGCGAAAGCGUAGCUAAUACCGCAUACGCCCUACGGGGGAAAGCAGGGGAUCGUAAGACCUUGCACUAUUGGAGCGGCCGAUAUCGGAUUAGCUAGUUGGUGAGGUAACGGCUCACCAAGGCGACGAUCCGUAGCUGGUUUGAGAGGACGACCAGCCACACUGGGACUGAGACACGGCCCAGACUCCUACGGGAGGCAGCAGUGGGGAAUUUUGGACAAUGGGGGCAACCCUGAUCCAGCCAUCCCGCGUGUGCGAUGAAGGCCUUCGGGUUGUAAAGCACUUUUGGCAGGAAAGAAACGUCGCGGGCUAAUACCCCGUGGAACUGACGGUACCUGCAGAAUAAGCACCGGCUAACUACGUG
This 484-nucleotide ribosomal RNA is filed under the name uncultured bacterium. RNAcentral describes it as "partial 16S ribosomal RNA". It matches the Rfam family "Bacterial small subunit ribosomal RNA", at positions 30 to 507 of the family's 1533-position model. The record is from RNAcentral.